RNAcentral lists this ribosomal RNA (433 nucleotides) under uncultured bacterium. Its description in RNAcentral is "partial 16S ribosomal RNA". It matches the Rfam family "Bacterial small subunit ribosomal RNA", at positions 29 to 507 of the family's 1533-position model. The record is from RNAcentral.
AACGAACGCUGGCGGCAGGCCUAACACAUGCAAGUCGAGCGCGCCCUCGGGGGAUAGGCGCGCGGGUGUGUAUCGCGCGGGGAAACGCGCCCCUCUACUCAAUAGAACUGGCCAAAUGGGGUUAUUACAGCAGACGAUCUCUGCGGGCAAAAGAUUUAUCGUCGUUGGAUGGGCCCGCGUUGGAUUAGCUUGUUGGGGGGGUAAUAGCCUACCAAGGCGACGAUCCAUAGCUGGUGUGAGAGGAUGAUCAGCCACACUGGGACUGAGACACGGCCCAGACUCCUACGGGAGGCAGCAGUGGGGAAUCUUGGACAAUGGGGGCAGGCCUGAUCCAGCCAUGCCGCGUGAGUGAUGAAGGCCUUAGGGUUGUAAAGCUCUUUUAGCUGGGAAGAUAAUGACGGUACCGGGAGAAUAAGCCCCGGCUAACUCCGUG